GGAUGAGUAGCUGAGUGGGUAAAGCGUGUCCUGUGCAAGCAUGAGGAUCUAGGUUCGAAUCCUCAGCAUCCA
This 72-nucleotide transfer RNA is filed under the name Mus musculus (house mouse). Its description in RNAcentral is "tRNA-Ala". The record is from RNAcentral. Lineage: Eukaryota; Metazoa; Chordata; Mammalia; Rodentia; Muridae.